Juglans microcarpa x Juglans regia is the source of this 160-nucleotide long non-coding RNA. RefSeq lists it as uncharacterized. The record is from RefSeq and is a predicted model, not a curated record. The transcript is spliced from 4 exons. NCBI's taxonomy places the organism in Eukaryota, Viridiplantae, Streptophyta, Magnoliopsida, Fagales, Juglandaceae.
AUGUACGUGUUGACUAUUAGUAGGUCGAUGGACAGGGAGGCUGUGUUCAAGGUUAGCUACUGGCUAACAUGACCGCUACCCAUGCAAAGUACCUCUUCUACUAUAUUUCGUUAAAAUAGUACUGUAUUUGAUUCUUUAAUCAAAGUACUGGUCAAUAAAA